GCUGUCCCCCGGAGGCGUCUGGGUGUGCGGAGCGCGCGCGCGCGGCUCGGAGGCGCACCUGUGAGGUGUCCCGGGAGGAGAGGGAGGGUGGGUGCGCGGGGCCCGCGGCCUGGGGCGCCUCAGCCCCUCACUUGGAAGCGCCCUGCGUCCCAGCAGCGCCAGGCGAGCAUCGUACUCAGGUGAUGAGGGACCCUUCGCGCACCCAGCGCAGAACGCCGCUGCCGCUGGACGCCUCCAUUGUUUGACCACAACAAGGGCCGGAGUCUCACCCAGAGAUGGCUAAAGUCUGACUUCCAGGCCCUGUCUGCAGACAUAACAAGUA
This is a non-coding RNA of Ceratotherium simum simum (southern white rhinoceros), 322 nucleotides long. Lineage: Eukaryota; Metazoa; Chordata; Mammalia; Perissodactyla; Rhinocerotidae. The record is from RefSeq and is a predicted model, not a curated record.